CCUACGGGAGGCAGCAGUGGGGAAUAUUGCGCAAUGGGCGAAAGCCUGACGCAGCGACGCCGCGUGAGGGAUGAAGGUCUUCGGAUCGUAAACCUCUGUCAGCAGGGAAGAACGGUCACUGUGCUAAUCAGCAGUGAAUUUACGGUAUCUGCAAAGGAAGCACCGGCUAACUCCGUGCCAGCAGCCGCGGGAAUACGGAGGGUGCGAGCGUUAAUCGGAUUUACUGGGCGUAAAGGGCUCGUAGGCGGUAUGUCAAGUCAAGGGUGAAAUCCCCGCGCUCAACGUGGGAACUGCCUUUGAAACUGGCAAACUUGAGUGUGUGAGAGGAUAGUGGAAUUCCAGGUGUAGGAGUGAAAUCCGUAGAUAUCUGGAGGAACAUCAGUGGCGAAGGCGACUAUCUGGCACAUAACUGACGCUGAGGAGCGAAAGCGUGGGUAGCAAACAGGAUUAGAUACCCUAGUAGUC
RNAcentral lists this ribosomal RNA (465 nucleotides) under uncultured bacterium. Its description in RNAcentral is "partial 16S ribosomal RNA". It matches the Rfam family "Bacterial small subunit ribosomal RNA", at positions 338 to 795 of the family's 1533-position model. The record is from RNAcentral.